Molecule: ribosomal RNA, 253 nt
Filed under: uncultured bacterium
Lineage: Bacteria
Description: partial 16S ribosomal RNA
Rfam family: Bacterial small subunit ribosomal RNA
Source: RNAcentral
UACGUAGGGGGCUAGCGUUGUCCGGAAUCAUUGGGCGUAAAGCGCGCGUAGGCGGCCAGAUAAGUCCGGUGUGAAAGUCACAGGCUCAACCUGUGAAUGCCGCUGGAAACUGUCUGGCUAGAGUCCGGAAGGGGCGAGUGGAAUUCCUGGUGUAGCGGUGAAAUGCGCAGAUAUCAGGAAGAACACCGAUGGCGAAAGCAGCUCUCUGGGACGGUACUGACGCUGAGGCGCGAAAGCGUGGGGAGCGAACAGG